This 253-nucleotide ribosomal RNA is filed under the name uncultured bacterium. RNAcentral describes it as "partial 16S ribosomal RNA". It matches the Rfam family "Bacterial small subunit ribosomal RNA", at positions 524 to 776 of the family's 1533-position model. The record is from RNAcentral.
UACGUAGGGUGCAAGCGUUAUCCGGAAUUAUUGGGCGUAAAGAGCUCGUAGGCGGUUUGUCGCGUCUGCUGUGAAAACCGGAGGCUCAACCUCCGGCCUGCAGUGGGUACGGGCAAACUAGAGUGCGGUAGGGGAGAUUGGAAUUCCUGGUGUAGCGGUGAAAUGCGCAGAUAUCAGGAGGAACACCGGUGGCGAAGGCGGGUCUCUGGGCCGAAACUGACGCUGAGGAGCGAAAGCGUGGGGAGCAAACAGG